RNAcentral lists this ribosomal RNA (450 nucleotides) under uncultured bacterium. RNAcentral's name for it is "partial 16S ribosomal RNA". It matches the Rfam family "Bacterial small subunit ribosomal RNA", at positions 338 to 795 of the family's 1533-position model. The record is from RNAcentral.
CCUACGGGAGGCUGCAGUGGGGAAUUUUGCGCAAUGGGCGAAAGCCUGACGCAGCAACGCCGCGUGGGUGAUGAAGGUCUUCGGAUCGUAAAACCCUUUCGUUGGGGACGAAGGUGGGGGCGUUCAUAGCGUUUCUGCUUGACGGUACCCGGAGAGGAAGCCCCGGCUAACUCUGUGCCAGCAGCCGCGGUAAUACAGAGGGGGCAAGCUUUGUUCGAAAUUAUUGGGCGUAAAGGGCGCGUAGGGAUGUGUAAGCCCAGAGCUCAACUUGGGAACUGCAUCUGAGACUGGAAGGCUAGAGUACUGGAGAGGGUGGUGGAAUUCCUCGUGUAGCGGUGAAAUGCGUAGAGAUGAGGAGGAACACCAGUGGCGAAGGCGGCCACCUGGACAGUAACUGACGCUGAGGCGCGAAAGUGUGGGUAGCAAACAGGAUUAGAUACCCCUGUAGUC